UACGUAGGUGGCAAGCGUUGUCCGGAAUGACUGGGCGUAAAGGGUGUGUAGGUGGCUUUGUAAGUUACAAGUGAAAUCCCGUGGCUCAACUACGGUGCUACUUGUAAAACUGCGAGGCUUGAGUGUGGGAGAGGUAAGUGGAAUUCCUAGUGUAGCGGUGGAAUGCGUAGAUAUUAGGAGGAACAUCAGUGGCGAAGGCGACUUACUGGACCAUAACUGACACUGAGGCACGAAAGCGUGGGGAGCAAACAGG
This 253-nucleotide ribosomal RNA is filed under the name uncultured bacterium. RNAcentral's name for it is "partial 16S ribosomal RNA". It matches the Rfam family "Bacterial small subunit ribosomal RNA", at positions 524 to 776 of the family's 1533-position model. The record is from RNAcentral.